AGAUUCCUUGCCCUCCAGCCAAAGACCACCAGGCACACACCUGUAGUUUAACACGCUGGAUUUACUACUCAUUGGAGUGAGGGAGGACGAACACCCUGGGGAACCACAGUGUGUCUCAGGAAGAGGGUGUUAGAAAGAACCUAUUAUGGCCUCCCUGCUUUGGUUGGGGAAUUUGGGGGAUUGGGUGCUCCUAAAACUCAGGGGCAAUCCUAUGUAUCACAAUAAACCGUCUUUAAAGGGAGGACAGACUAAAACUGAUAAAGAAAUAACAUUCUGUCCAAGAGAGUAUGUAUACAAUAUUUUGUAGGUUGCACAGUGACCUUAUUUCAGUCUGUGCUUAGAUAAUAUUAUGAAGGGACCUCAUUUUGUCUUACUCUAUCAUGGUCACAGAGUGACCUUGUCUGAUGUUGGUGUUCUGGGAAAUUGCUUAUGCCCAACAGAAGAACAAUUUGGACUAGCUGUGUCAGGCCAGCUUCUGAAAAACCCUGAGGCCUAGCUUGAAGUGUCAGACCAGUUCCCAGAUGUCAGGGGCUAGGUUUUUAAUUUUUUCCCUUUCUCACACUUUUGUUUUACUGUAAAAAAACCCAGAGAAUUGAAGAUACUGCUCUUAAAAUAAUUUUUAAAGAUAUAUAAUGAGGUCAAAGACUCAUUUUUUGGUGCCAUCCUUACCCGUGAGAUUUUUAGCAGAGGAGGAAAAACACCGUGUUUAAUGAAGCUUAGAUGCCAAGUGAUAGAGACAGUUUCUAUUGGAAAUCGUCACUUUGUAAGAAAAAAAUGUCCCCUGCAUCCUCCUGAAUUUCAUAGUAAGUUUUCUUUAAUACCUAUCCUACUUUGGGUUCCCGCAGAAGCAGAAGCAGUCCCAGGGAUUAGUGUGUAAGUGGUUCACGAGAGAAACGAUCCCCCAGGGAGUAUCAGUAAAGAAGUGAAACAGGUAAAGGAAGAAUGUCAAUACUGUGUUUUAAUUAGCAGGUCGGGGUGUGGGUAACUAGUGUUCCGUCUUCCUAGGGACCUCUGAGAAUGAUUCAUUUAAGGUGCUCCAUGCAAGGGAGAGGAAGCAGGGGUGCUCAUUCUUCCAGUUCCCGGCUAUUGUUGGCUUAGGGUUGUAUUAGUUUACCACGGCUGAUUUUAAAAGCAUCACAAAAGUCAUAUUAUCUUGCUUGUUAUUAUGAUGCCUAAGGUUAUGAUCAUCAAUCAUCUUCCAGGUCUGUUAGUCGGGAGUCCACGGUGAAUCGCGGUUCGGUAAAACCACAAUGUCACUGAUUUUUAUAUUCCCCAAAUGAAUGAGACCAUAUAAUGUUAGUGAAAGGGAAUAAAGAGAAAGGAGAGAAAAUGAGUGGGAACUAU
RNAcentral lists this long non-coding RNA (1344 nucleotides) under Vulpes vulpes (red fox). RNAcentral describes it as "lncRNA (ENSVVUG00000018576.1)". The record is from RNAcentral. Lineage: Eukaryota; Metazoa; Chordata; Mammalia; Carnivora; Canidae.